GUGGGAAAUAUUGGACAAUGGGCGCAAGCCUGAUCCAGCAAUGCCGCGUGGGUGAAGAAGGUUUUCGGAUUGUAAACUUCUGUCCCAUGAGACGAAGGAAGUGACGGUACCAUGGGAGGAAGCCCCGGCUAACUACGUGCCAGCAGCCGCGGUAAUACGUAGGGGGCGAGCGUUGUCCGGAAUUAUUGGGCGUAAAGGGUGCGUAGGCGGCCCUGCAAGUCAGAUGUGAAACCCCUGUGCUUAACAUAGGGCUUGCAUUUGAAACUGUGGGGCUUGAGUAUGGGAGAGGCAAGCGGAAUUCCCGGUGUAGCGGUGAAAUGCGUAGAGAUCGGGAGGAACACCAGUGGCGAAGGCGGCUUGCUGGACCAAAACUGACGCUGAAGCACGAAAGCGUGGGUAGCAAACAGGAUUAGAUACCCCUGUAGUCC
Molecule: ribosomal RNA, 428 nt
Filed under: uncultured bacterium
Lineage: Bacteria
Description: partial 16S ribosomal RNA
Rfam family: Bacterial small subunit ribosomal RNA
Source: RNAcentral